Molecule: ribosomal RNA, 273 nt
Filed under: uncultured bacterium
Lineage: Bacteria
Description: partial 16S ribosomal RNA
Rfam family: Bacterial small subunit ribosomal RNA
Source: RNAcentral
AAUGAAGUUCCUUCGGGAACGGAUUUAGCGGCGGACGGGUGAGUAACACGUGGGCAACCUGCCUUUAUCAGGGGGAUAACGCAUCGAAAGAUGUGCUAAUACCGCGUAAGACCACAGCCUCACAUGGGGCAGGGGUCAAAGGAGCAAUCCGGAUAAAGAUGGGCUCGCGUCCGAUUAGCUAGUUGGUGAGAUAACAGCCCACCAAGGCGACGAUCGGUAGCCGACCUGAGAGGGUGAUCGGCCACAUUGGAACUGAGAGACGGUCCAGACUCC